GAAAUGCUUNGAUAUCACGAAGAACUCCGAUUGCGAAGGCAGCUUGCUGGACUGUAACUGACGCUGAGGCACGAAAGCGUGGGGAUCAAACAGGAUUAGAUACCCUGGUAGNCCACGCCGUAAACGAUGAAUGCUAGCUGUUAGCGAUAUACUGUUAGCGGCACAGAGAAAUCGUUAAGCAUUCCACCUGGGGAGUACGCCGGCAACGGUGAAACUCAAAGGAAUUGACGGGGGCCCGCACAAGCGGAGGAACAUGUGGUUUAAUUCGAUGAUACGCGAGGAACCUUACCUGGGCUUAAAUUGCAGUGGAAUAACGUGGAAACAUGUUAGCCUUCGGGCCGCUGUGAAGGUGCUGCAUGGUUGUCGUCAGCUCGUGCCGUGAGGUGUCGGCUUAAGUGCCAUAACGAGCGCAACCCUCAUCGAUAGUUACUAACAGGUUAAGCUGGGGACUCUAUCGAGACUGCCGACGUAAGUCGUGAGGAAGGUGGGGAUGACGUCAAAUCAGCACGGCCCUUACGUCCAGGGCUACACACGUGUUACAAUGGGGGGUACAAAGGGCAGCUACCUGGCGACAGGAUGCUAAUCUCAAAAACCUCUCUCAGUUCGGAUUGGAGUCUGCAACCCGACUCCAUGAAGCUGGAUUCGCUAGUAAUCGCGCAUCAGCCACGGCGCGGUGAAUACGUUCCCGGGCCUUGUACACACCGCCCGUCAAGCCAUGGGAGCCGGGGGGACCUGAAGUAUGCAACCGUAAGGAGCGUCCUAGGGUAAAACUGGUGACUGGGGCU
This 785-nucleotide ribosomal RNA is filed under the name uncultured prokaryote. RNAcentral describes it as "bacterial SSU rRNA". It matches the Rfam family "Bacterial small subunit ribosomal RNA", at positions 683 to 1482 of the family's 1533-position model. The record is from RNAcentral.